Pan troglodytes (chimpanzee) is the source of this 1300-nucleotide long non-coding RNA. RefSeq lists it as uncharacterized. The transcript is spliced from 3 exons. The record is from RefSeq and is a predicted model, not a curated record. NCBI's taxonomy places the organism in Eukaryota, Metazoa, Chordata, Mammalia, Primates, Hominidae.
GUGUUUACCCAAAGGAGUUGAAAACAUGUCCACACAGAAAACCUGCACAUGAAUGUUUAUAGCAGCUUUACUCAAAAUUGCCAGAAAUUGGAAGCAACCAAGAUGUCCUUCAAUAGUUCUUUCUCCUCCUGUGGCAAAUGUGAAGCUACACGUUGGGGACUGCAGUAUCCCAAGAUGCAAAGAGCCUGGAUCUCUGAGUCACUCCACUGCCUGGAGAAGGAUGACUCAACUGGAACAUCCUCAUUAGACAACAGGCUCCAGAAGACCACAUUCCCCAAUCCUGUUGCAUAUGGAUGAAGCCAUGUGAUUGACUUUGAGCAAUGUCAUAUGGGUAUUACAGCUGCUGGCGCCUGGCUAGGGCAAACAGGCAGGAAGAUUGGUCCUCUUUGCUUUCUCUCUUUCUUCUGGAAAGAGACACUUUUCUCCUCUGGCCUUUGGACAUCAGACUCCAGGUUCUCCAACUUUUGGACUCUGAACCUGGCACCAGCAGCCUGCUGGGAGCUCUUAGGGCUCAAUGGGGACUGCACUGUCAGCCUCCCUGGUUCUGAGUCUUUGGACUUGGACUGAGCCACUGGCUUCUCUGGUUUUUCAGCUUGUAGUUGGACUAUCAUGGGACUUUGACUCUGAUUAUGUGAGCCAGUUCCCCCUUAAAAAAAAUCCCUUUUCAUAUAUCCUGCUGGCUCUAUCUCUCUGGGGGAACCCUGACUAAAAUAGCCACUGAGACUUGGGAGUUAUUAUAGCUUCUAACAUUACUUGCAUGAAUAGCAUAGUAUUGAAUAAUGAUUGUGAGUUCACAAAGUAGACAAGGGGGAAGGAAGAAAAGUAGUUCAGGUAAGAAAGGACAACAAUGCUCAAACAUAUUUAUUAGAGGGGGUUCAGGAUAGUUUCUGGAUGGCUGCAGGACUUGGUGAUUCCAAAGGCCAUGUGCAAAAGAGGAGGAAAGGACAGCAGGACCACAUAAUAAGGAGUCCUUAUGUCCCGAUGGCAAGUUGAAGAUGUUAUUCUGCAAGUGAUACGGAAGCAUGGAUGUUAGGCCAGAAAUACUUUGACAUAAUGUUGUAUUUAAAAAUACUUCCCAGAACCCAAAUGAAGAGGCAUUCUAAAAUACCUAACCAGUGUUCUUAAACUAUGUCAAGGUCAUGAAAGACAAGAAAAGAAUGAGGAACUAUCACAGCCUGGAGAGGACUAGGGAGACAAGACAGCUAAACAAAAUGUGGGAUCCUGUAUCAUACCCUGGGGUAGAAAAAUGACAUUAAUGGAAAAGCUGUCAAAACUUCAAUAAGAUCUGCAAUUUAGUUAA